RNAcentral lists this ribosomal RNA (253 nucleotides) under uncultured bacterium. Its description in RNAcentral is "partial 16S ribosomal RNA". It matches the Rfam family "Bacterial small subunit ribosomal RNA", at positions 524 to 776 of the family's 1533-position model. The record is from RNAcentral.
UACGGAGGGGGCUAGCGUUGUUCGGAUUUACUGGGCGUAAAGAGCGCGCAGGCGGUCGUUCAAGUCGCGUGUGAAAGCCCCCGGCUCAACUGGGGAGGGUCACGCGAUACUGAUCGACUCGAAGGCAGGAGAGGGUAGUGGAAUUCCCGGUGUAGUGGUGAAAUGCGUAGAUAUCGGGAGGAACACCAGUGGCGAAGGCGACUACCUGGCCUGUUCUUGACGCUGAGGCGCGAAAGCUAGGGGAGCAAACGGG